CACCUUUCCCCCACAGUGACAGUUAAGGUCAGAAGGAGCCCGGGGUCCCAGUUGGUGCCAUCGGAAUUGAAGAAAUCAGGACUCCAUCCAGGACACCAUGUUGCAUUCACUCAUCAUGUCUCCUCAAAUCUGUAACAGUUUUGCAGUCUUUCUUUAUUUUCCAUGACCUUGACAGUCUUGAGGAGUCCUAGGCACGUGGAAUUUGGACUCCUCCUAAAGUUACAGUGAUCGCUCUGGAUUUUUAUAUGGAUUUGAAAGCAUGAAAUAUAGAGUGAUGGAUCAAGCACCACUGCUCCAGAUCUGGGAAGCACGACCGUGACAGCAUCUGAGAGACAGCAGAGAUGUAUCUAUAAGAAAAUCAAGGAAUCUGCUCUUCCCAGCCUCGCGUUCUCUUGAAUUCAUUUUUGUUCACAAACCUUGAAUAUAAACUUAUGUUUGAUUAUCGUUCACAUGUUUUGUGUGUGACAAUUUUUCUGAACUUGAGCAAAAAGUAAAAACCAACCACAACGGUUCACAUUCCCUAUUAUUAUUUUUUUGUUUUUCCAGCUGAUCAAGAGGCAGAAGAAAAGUGAGAAAGACAUUGAGGACAAACAUUUAGUUAACACACCCACACAAACCCAGCAUUGGAGGGAACAUCCUUCACUUGGGGUGACAAGUGGUGAUGACUUGUCACAGUUGUCUCAGUCUGAAGGAGACCAGGCAGGUGUAUCAUCACACAGCUUCUGCGGUGGAUGCACAGAGCCUCUAGAAGUGCUCCCAGUUCAGAGAGAGGAGCAGGGUGUGGAGAGAGCCCUCAGGCCCCCAGCCCCAGCACCGGCCUCAAGGAGAGGCGAUAAGAGGCCAGGAUGCGGUCAGGUGGGACUGCAGAAACAAAAAGUGGAACUUCUACCAGAAGCAGACUACAAUCAAGUGCUGAUCAUGAAGUUUAGAUCGACGAUGGACCCCAUAGACGACGGUGGUCCCAAAAGGAACGUUUGAAAAUAGCGCUGACAACUCUCUGGAGAACUGGAAUCCCAUCCCCGUGGAAGGAGAAGAAGGUUUGCUCUGACAAUCCCACUCAAACGACGCAGCUCGAGUUUCUCCUCUCUCCUCAAGCUGCUGUUCCGGGGUGAGGUGGUGCCUGCAUCCAGGGUCAAGAAUGUAGCGCUCUGCUGUGAUUUACUGCUGAAUGUCACCCAGUCACAGAAUCCUACUCCAGAGUAGGAAGAGCCCAGCGUGCAGCACAGAGUGGUCCUCUCAGUCUGGACUUUGUGGUGUGGAAGAGCGGAGCUUGGUUCCUCUCAGUACGUUAGAUUGAUACUUCAUACAGCAUAAUCACUUGAAUAUGGAUUAUAAACUCAAAAGGCCUCAGCAGCCAGGCAGAAAAAAUAAAGAAGGACACUGGGAUUCAACACUCACACCAAGAGUCAUGUUCAUUGUCAAGCCUUUAUUUAAUAGCUAGACCUGCCCUUUCUGCUUUUGACCUAAGAGACAUAGUGACUUUUAGAAUGAUUUCUGCAGAUGGCUGAUCUAAUCUAAUGUGAAUUGAUUUCAAUAAACUUUCAGAGGAUG
This is a long non-coding RNA of Equus caballus (horse), 1551 nucleotides long. The record is from Ensembl. Lineage: Eukaryota; Metazoa; Chordata; Mammalia; Perissodactyla; Equidae.